GGGUUGUGAGGUUAAGCGACUAAGCGUACACGGUGGAUGCCCUGGCAGUCAGAGGCGAUGAAGGACGUGCUAAUCUGCGAUAAGCGUCGGUAAGGUGAUAUGAACCGUUAUAACCGGCGAUUUCCGAAUGGGGAAACCCAGUGUGAUUCGUCACACUAUCAUUAACUGAAUCCAUAGGUUAAUGAGGCGAACCGGGGGAACUGAAACAUCUAAGUACCCCGAGGAAAAGAAAUCAACCGAGAUUCCCCCAGUAGCGGCGAGCGAACGGGGAGCAGCCCAGAGCCUGAAUCAGUGUGUGUGUUAGUGGAAGCGUCUGGAAAGGCGCGCGAUACAGGGUGACAGCCCCGUACACAAAAAUGCACAUGCUGUGAGCUCGAUGAGUAGGGCGGGACACGUGGUAUCCUGUCUGAAUAUGGGGGGACCAUCCUCCAAGGCUAAAUACUCCUGACUGACCGAUAGUGAACCAGUACCGUGAGGGAAAGGCGAAAAGAACCCCGGCGAGGGGAGUGAAAAAGAACCUGAAACCGUGUACGUACAAGCAGUGGGAGCACAGAGCAAUCUGUGUGACUGCGUACCUUUUGUAUAAUGGGUCAGCGACUUAUAUUCUGUAGCAAGGUUAACCGAAUAGGGGAGCCGAAGGGAAACCGAGUCUUAACUGGGCGUUAAGUUGCAGGGUAUAGACCCGAAACCCGGUGAUCUAGCCAUGGGCAGGUUGAAGGUUGGGUAACACUAACUGGAGGACCGAACCGACUAAUGUUGAAAAAUUAGCGGAUGACUUGUGGCUGGGGGUGAAAGGCCAAUCAAACCGGGAGAUAGCUGGUUCUCCCCGAAAGCUAUUUAGGUAGCGCCUCGUGAAUUCAUCUCCGGGGGUAGAGCACUGUUUCGGCAAGGGGGUCAUCCCGACUUACCAACCCGAUGCAAACUGCGAAUACCGGAGAAUGUUAUCACGGGAGACACACGGCGGGUGCUAACGUCCGUCGUGAAGAGGGAAACAACCCAGACCGCCAGCUAAGGUCCCAAAGUCAUGGUUAAGUGGGAAACGAUGUGGGAAGGCCCAGACAGCCAGGAUGUUGGCUUAGAAGCAGCCAUCAUUUAAAGAAAGCGUAAUAGCUCACUGGUCGAGUCGGCCUGCGCGGAAGAUGUAACGGGGCUAAACCAUGCACCGAAGCUGCGGCAGCGACGCUUAUGCGUUGUUGGGUAGGGGAGCGUUCUGUAAGCCUGUGAAGGUGUACUGUGAGGUAUGCUGGAGGUAUCAGAAGUGCGAAUGCUGACAUAAGUAACGAUAAAGCGGGUGAAAAGCCCGCUCGCCGGAAGACCAAGGGUUCCUGUCCAACGUUAAUCGGGGCAGGGUGAGUCGACCCCUAAGGCGAGGCCGAAAGGCGUAGUCGAUGGGAAACAGGUUAAUAUUCCUGUACUUGGUGUUACUGCGAAGGGGGGACGGAGAAGGCUAUGUUGGCCGGGCGACGGUUGUCCCGGUUUAAGCGUGUAGGCUGGUUUUCCAGGCAAAUCCGGAAAAUCAAGGCUGAGGCGUGAUGACGAGGCACUACGGUGCUGAAGCAACAAAUGCCCUGCUUCCAGGAAAAGCCUCUAAGCAUCAGGUAACAUCAAAUCGUACCCCAAACCGACACAGGUGGUCAGGUAGAGAAUACCAAGGCGCUUGAGAGAACUCGGGUGAAGGAACUAGGCAAAAUGGUGCCGUAACUUCGGGAGAAGGCACGCUGAUAUGUAGGUGAAGUCCCUCGCGGAUGGAGCUGAAAUCAGUCGAAGAUACCAGCUGGCUGCAACUGUUUAUUAAAAACACAGCACUGUGCAAACACGAAAGUGGACGUAUACGGUGUGACGCCUGCCCGGUGCCGGAAGGUUAAUUGAUGGGGUCAGCGCAAGCGAAGCUCUUGAUCGAAGCCCCGGUAAACGGCGGCCGUAACUAUAACGGUCCUAAGGUAGCGAAAUUCCUUGUCGGGUAAGUUCCGACCUGCACGAAUGGCGUAAUGAUGGCCAGGCUGUCUCCACCCGAGACUCAGUGAAAUUGAACUCGCUGUGAAGAUGCAGUGUACCCGCGGCAAGACGGAAAGACCCCGUGAACCUUUACUAUAGCUUGACACUGAACAUUGAGCCUUGAUGUGUAGGAUAGGUGGGAGGCUUUGAAGUGUGGACGCCAGUCUGCAUGGAGCCGACCUUGAAAUACCACCCUUUAAUGUUUGAUGUUCUAACGUGGACCCGUGAUCCGGGUUGCGGACAGUGUCUGGUGGGUAGUUUGACUGGGGCGGUCUCCUCCUAAAGAGUAACGGAGGAGCACGAAGGUUGGCUAAUCCUGGUCGGACAUCAGGAGGUUAGUGCAAUGGCAUAAGCCAGCUUGACUGCGAGCGUGACGGCGCGAGCAGGUGCGAAAGCAGGUCAUAGUGAUCCGGUGGUUCUGAAUGGAAGGGCCAUCGCUCAACGGAUAAAAGGUACUCCGGGGAUAACAGGCUGAUACCGCCCAAGAGUUCAUAUCGACGGCGGUGUUUGGCACCUCGAUGUCGGCUCAUCACAUCCUGGGGCUGAAGUAGGUCCCAAGGGUAUGGCUGUUCGCCAUUUAAAGUGGUACGCGAGCUGGGUUUAGAACGUCGUGAGACAGUUCGGUCCCUAUCUGCCGUGGGCGCUGGAGAACUGAGGGGGGCUGCUCCUAGUACGAGAGGACCGGAGUGGACGCAUCACUGGUGUUCGGGUUGUCAUGCCAAUGGCACUGCCCGGUAGCUAAAUGCGGAAGAGAUAAGUGCUGAAAGCAUCUAAGCACGAAACUUGCCCCGAGAUGAGUUCUCCCUGACUCCUUGAGAGUCCUGAAGGAACGUUGAAGACGACGACGUUGAUAGGCCGGGUGUGUAAGCGCAGCGAUGCGUUGAGCUAACCGGUACUAAUGAACCGUGAGGCUUAACCUUACAACGCCGAAGGUGUUU
RNAcentral lists this ribosomal RNA (2933 nucleotides) under Escherichia sp. SCLE84. RNAcentral describes it as "23S ribosomal RNA". It matches the Rfam family "Bacterial large subunit ribosomal RNA". The record is from RNAcentral. Lineage: Bacteria; Pseudomonadati; Pseudomonadota; Gammaproteobacteria; Enterobacterales; Enterobacteriaceae.